CCCUUAGAUGUCCGGGGCUGCACGCGCGCUACACUGAAGGAAUCAGCGUGCUAAAACCAUUGUCGAAAGGCAUUGGUAAACCCAUUAAAAUCCUACGUGAUUGGGAUCGGGAAUUGCAAUUAUUUCCCUUGAACGAGGAAUUCCCAGUAAGUGUGGUUCAUAAGCUCGCGUUGAUUACGUCCCUGCCCUUUGUACACACCGCCCGUCGCUGCCCGGGACUGAGCCGUUUCGAGAAAAGCGGGGACUGCUGCUGUCGGGGCUUUCGGGCCUUGGCUUCGGUGGAAACCGCUUUAAUCGCAGUGGCUUGAACCGGGCAAAAGUCGUAACA
Molecule: ribosomal RNA, 328 nt
Filed under: uncultured eukaryote
Lineage: Eukaryota
Description: partial 18S ribosomal RNA
Rfam family: Eukaryotic small subunit ribosomal RNA
Source: RNAcentral